CGCUCAGAUGGUGAAAUGGUAUCACACCACGUUGUGGAGAUGAUCGUUGAAACAAAUACGAUCACCGAACCCGUGGCAUUGAGAGUUCGAUUCUCUCUCUGGGCAA
This is a non-coding RNA of Periconia digitata, 106 nucleotides long. Lineage: Eukaryota; Fungi; Ascomycota; Dothideomycetes; Pleosporales; Periconiaceae. The record is from the annotation of a GenBank genome assembly.